Long non-coding RNA from Herpailurus yagouaroundi (jaguarundi), 253 nucleotides. RefSeq lists it as uncharacterized. The transcript is spliced from 3 exons. Lineage: Eukaryota; Metazoa; Chordata; Mammalia; Carnivora; Felidae. The record is from RefSeq and is a predicted model, not a curated record.
AAAAUUAGUGGAGAACACUGAAUUCCAGCCAACAUGACAUGUGCCUCAUGCCUCCUGUUCCCAUGCAGGAACCUGGCUCAGAAGAAGAAUUUCACUCCUUGGGAUUUUGAAGAAUGACCGCCAUUGAUUUGAGUGUGCAGGAAUGUGUCCAUUGGCACUGUCUGCCUCUUGAGCCUCUUCCAGAUGAUCAUCAUCAGUCCCAGGGAUUCCAGGUUGUUCAGAGAUAGAAAGAGUAAAACACGGCCUCCCUUCC